GUUGUGGAGGUGAGUUGGGAAGAAUAUCCAAGGAAAAGGGUAAGGCUGGGAAUUCACACAGGAAAGGAUCUUCUCCUUGCCCCAAACCAGCCCGAAACUGCAAGUGAAAAGUUGUUUUUAGGAAUAAAUGGGUUUUUUUUCUGGGAUUCAGUGCAGGAAAUGUUGGAUCACCAACAGCUUUUGGACCCUGGUUUGAGGGGGAUGGGUCUUCCUGAGAGGAAUCUGAGGGAUCAGAGGGAAUCCUGGAAGUCUCCUGUUUUCACCCUCUCCACCAGGACAUGAUCAAAUCCCUUCCUGACUCCCAGUUUUUAAAGCUGAACCCACAGAAAUCCCAAUCCCUGCCCACAAAAUUCCGGGGUUGCUCCCAGGAUCAGCUCCAGGACUCAUGGAAUCCUCAAAUCCAAUGGUCCACAGAGCCUGGAGCGCUGAUCUGCCCACCCCAAAGCAUUGGAUUCAUCCUCAGUGACCCUCAUCCCACAGGUCUGGAGGCAGCUGAAGUCCACAGGCAGCUCCAAGGGUAUUCCCAGUCUCGGGAAUACACCAGGAAUGGUGAAAAGUGGGAAGAAAAACUUGGCACAACUCACGGCAAGACCACGGUGAAGCCCUCCAUGGAGCCACCUCCACUCCUUGCAGCCCCGGCGCAGCAGACAACGGGAACCUCUCAGCGAGGAGCCGACAGCCAAUUACCAGCUCGGUGCCUGCAGCCCAUGGAUGAGGGCUCCUGCCAGCACCAUUCCCUGCUCUGGUACUUCCACGGCCCCAGCAGCUCCUGCCGGCCCUUCCUGUUCGGGGGCUGCCGAGGGAACAGCAACCGCUUCCCAUCCCGGCGGGAAUGCCAGCGCCACUGCCAGAGCUCCCCAGGUGAGGCUGGGCCCCUCAAAUUCCCUCUUCCUCCAGCCAGGAGCGAGGCCAGGGUGGGAAAGCCCAUCCAGGAUUUGCUCACUCCCAGUUCCUUAAGGUGGAAGUGCCAGGGAGUUGCAGGGUUUUCUUCCCUUCCCAUUCCCAGAUCGUUCCCAGGAGCUCCUGGACAUCUCCCGUGGGUUAAUUCCAUGGAUGUGUGCAUGGAUCCACCAGGCCCAGAUAUUUUGGAUGUCUUUUGUGCUUUCCAAGGACUGAAAUUGUGCAGAAAUUUGGGGAUUUGUGCCCUCAGAACCCUGGGAUGUUCCAUCCAAACACACUCUGGCAUCUCCAGGCAGAACCUGAAGUCAAACCUAGACCAGUUUAGGACUGGAUUAACACCCCAGGCUUGGGGUCUCACCUCAUCCAGGGAUUCAGUGGGAAAAUCUGGAAGCACAGCUUGGCUUCCAUUGCCAGAUCCGGGGGUUUUGGGAUCAGUUUGUGUGGAUUUUCCCUCCUCUCCAGCUCAUCCCAAAUGGGGCCUGGCAGGAAUGCAAACCCUGCUCCAAGCAGGGCAGGAGCUGUGACUGAUCCCCGCCUUCCAAGGAAAAUAUUCCUCUCCCAGAAUUCCCUCUGCCUGGAAACCUCUGGGAAAAAAAUCCGUGAAUUCUCCACAAUCCAUUAAAAAAAACCUCUGGCAAGGUUCAUCUGCUCUGGGUUUGAGGGAAACUGUAAAAAGAGAGAGGAGUUAAAGGCUCAGAUCCAUAAUUUUGGGAAUCACUCCAAGGGCUUGAGAUCCAGGCCCAGCAGCACCAGGAAAUGACUGAAACUCCUCCUGCCCAUUUUUUUUCCCAGGGAAUUUGCUUUAGGAGCCACUGAGAAUUUCACAAAGCAGCUGAAGGGACCUCCAGCGUGCUUUGUGGGAAGAAAAAAACACUGGGAAUGGGAUUAAUCCCAAUCCAAGACAGAUCCUUGAGCCCUCCAUGUGCCCAUUUUCCAUGGCUGAUCCUAAACAGAGCCAGGAUCCAGCCAGGAUUGGGAUAUUUGCUUUUUGUGGAUGUGGGAUGGGACAAUCCCAGGGUGUCAGGGACCUCCCAAGCCGCUGUGAGCUUGGGAAUUCCAAGAGGGAAUUCCCCAAACUGCAGCCAACAUUCCCAUUUUUUCCUCUUCUCUCUUUUUCCCAAAUCAGGCAGAGGGAGAUGAGUGGCUCCAAGUGCUUCAUUUAAAUCCAGCAGGAUUGGGAGGAGUCACCCCAACACCUCCAGGAUGGACGAGGAAAACAAACACCAAGACACUGGAAAAAAAGUUGUCGGAAAACUGGAAAUAUGGACAUUAUGGGAUGAGGAGAGGGAAACCUCUGGAUGCUCAGGAAAAGGACGGUUUGGAAUUCCUGAGCCAAACCACGUGGCACAAAAUUCCCGAGUUUUAUUUUUGUAAAAUAAAAGUGUCUCAAUGCUGUGGAAUUCUGGAGCAUUUGCCUGGAAGAGGGAAACCUUGGGAAUGGCAGAGAAAGGUGGGAAAAUCUAUUUUUCCAGCUGGAUUAGGUGGAGCCCCAUCCCUUUUGGCCUGGCCCUAAAUUCCCUGGGGCCUUCAGAAUUCCCUCCUCCUCCUCCUCUUGGGAAUUCCCUGGGGCCUUUAAGAAUUCCCACCUUCUCCUUCACUCCUCCUUCCUUUGGGAAUUCCCUGGGCAGGUUAAGAGGAGCCAUCCAAAAAUCUCGAAGAAAAAAACAGGGAUCCAAGCCAGGCUUGUCCCUAAAAAAAUCCACUUCCAAUUCCUCAAGGAGCUUGGAGCUGCAACUUGUGGAAAUCCAAGAAAAGGUGUGGAAAUCCAGGAAGAGGGAUUCCAAAUCCCGGGAUUUUGGUCCCAUGGAGACACAGACACAGCUGAGAGGAGUUCUGCCCCAUGGGACAAUCCCUGGGAAAGGUUACAGGAUUUCCAAUGGGAAAACAAGGAUUUAUUAAAAGUUUUCCGUGUAAUUUGGUAAAACUGAGCUCAGAUUUCCCAGGUUUCAGAGUUCCCAGAGUUCAGAUUUCCCGGGAUUUGGGGUUGGCUCUUUGCUCCUGGUAGCACAGGUAGGAAAAGGAUUCCCUCACUCCCAAAAUCCCGGUACUGGGCAGGGAGGAGCAGAGAUUUGGGGACUUUCCUUCCUUUUCCUCCUCCCCCCAAAAAAAAAUGAAAAACAUGGAAUUUUGGAAGCCUUGGCAAGGAGCCAUUUCCACAGUGACAAUUCCAACCUCUCCUCCUGAAAUCCUGGUCUGUCCUGAGAUGUCCUUGGGCAGGAAAAACA
Long non-coding RNA from Taeniopygia guttata (zebra finch), 3125 nucleotides. NCBI's taxonomy places the organism in Eukaryota, Metazoa, Chordata, Aves, Passeriformes, Estrildidae. The record is from Ensembl.